Molecule: ribosomal RNA, 902 nt
Filed under: Inermocoelotes kulczynskii
Lineage: Eukaryota; Metazoa; Arthropoda; Arachnida; Araneae; Agelenidae
Description: partial 28S ribosomal RNA
Rfam family: Eukaryotic large subunit ribosomal RNA (bases 415-902)
Source: RNAcentral
UCAGGUAGGGCUUCCCCGAGCGGGGGCCGUCCGGUCGCACGCAGCGCCUGCGCACCCGACGCAUUUGUCUCUCGUCCGAAGGACGCCGCAGCCGGCUGGGUAGUGCAAGCGCGACGACCUGAGGGGCGGAAGAUGGCAGGUGGCCGCUGGCGUGCCUCGUGCGCGUCGGCGGUUGUUAGCCGUUCCGUCAGUGGUCCGUCACCCGGCCGAGGUGUCGCGAGGCCCUUCGGGGCCUCAUCGUCUCCUCCUCAGUGUCGCGGGUCAGAGUGUCGCAGGUGGAAUCCGUCGUCCCGUUCGCACCCCUCCGGGGUGGUCGGGCGAACGGAGGCCUCCGUUGGUGGCGCCGGACCCGUUGGAGGCCGGAGGCUUGCGGCGAGUAGGUCGGUCACCCACCCGACCCGUCUUGAAACACGGACCAANNNNNNNNNNNNNNNNNNNNNNNNNNNNNNNNNNNNNNNNNAGUCAGCCUUGCUUGAUCGAAGGCCGGACGUUCCGGAUGAGAGUGCCCAGUGGGCCACUUUUGGUAAGCAGAACUGGCGCUGUGGGAUGAACCAAACGCCGGGUUACGGCGCCCGAUGCGAGACGCUCAUGAGACCCCAUGAAAGGUGUUGGUUGCUCCAGACAGCAGGACGGUGGUCAUGGAAGUCGAAAUCCGCUAAGGAGUGUGUAACAACUCACCUGCCGAAGCAACUAGCCCUGAAAAUGGAUGGCGCUCCAGCGUCGAGCCCAUACCCGGCCGCCGCGACAGAGCUCCGUCACGGAGGUUUACGUCGCGGUGAGUAGGAGGGUCGCGGCGGGGAGCGUUGAAGGUGCCGGGCGUGAGCCCGCCUGGAGCCCCCGUCGGUGCAGAUCUUGGUGGUAGUAACAAAUACUCAAGUGAGAACCUUGAGGACUGAAGUUGG